GACUAGUGUUCCAUUUAUUAAAGUGGCCAAUGAUUUCAAGUCUGUAUGUAGGCAGCAGCCUCUCUGUGCUAGUGAUGGUUAUUUAACAGUCUGAUGGCCUUGAGAUAGAAGCUGCUUUUCAGUCUCUCGAUCCCAGCUUUGAUGCACCUGUACUGACCUCGCCUUCUGGAUGAUAGCGGAGUGAACAGGCAGUGGCUUGGUGGUUGUUGUCCUUGAGGAUCUUUUUGGCCUUCCUGUGACAUUAGGUGCUGUAGGUGUUCUGGAGGGCAGGUAGUUUCAAAUCAAAGUUUAUUUCUCACGUGUGCCGAAUACAGUGAAAUGCUUACUUACAGACUCUAAACAAUAGUGCAAAAAAGGUGUUGGGUGAACAAUAGAUGAGUAAAGAAAUAAAACAACAGUAAAAAGACAGGCUAUAUACAGUAGCGAGGCUAUAAAGAGGAGUUGGUGGGUGGGACACAAUGCAGAUAGCCCGCUUAAACAAUAUGUGGGAGCAGCGGUUGGUCGGGCCAAUUGAUGUAGUAUGUACAUGAAUGUUAAUGCGGUAGCACAAAAAGGGGCUCUGAGGACACCUCCUUCGCUGGAUCAGCACACACCAUCACCACCGGCUCCGUCUCUUGAGUGGGGGCCGGAUAACUGGCCCGAGGAGAUGCCUUGCAUUCGGGCACCACCCCCAAAAGGGGGAGAGAGCGGGCCAUCGACAGAACGAGGAAGAGCUAGACUAGCAGUAGAAUAUAAAUGGGUUAAACUGAUGCAAGAGUUGGGGACAGAGGAUGCAUCUGUCAUUAGUAAUGUUUCACAGUAAACAUGUCAAACUAACCCUUUACAGAAAUAGCUCGCCACAAGGUUAGAAUAUGACUCAGCGCUAAAGCCGACCUGGUCCCGAAAAGAGUAUGUAAGGAGAGUGUCUUCCUUAAGAGGGCAUGAAAGUGCUACUUGACUUAUCACCGACAGACAGCUCGUGAUACUUCAACUAUCAUCAACCUAAAAGGUAAUAUCUGACUUUCAUACUCUAGAACAAUUGUACCUCUUGACUUCUGAUUUCUG
This is a long non-coding RNA of Oncorhynchus tshawytscha (Chinook salmon), 1044 nucleotides long. Lineage: Eukaryota; Metazoa; Chordata; Actinopteri; Salmoniformes; Salmonidae. The record is from Ensembl.